Molecule: long non-coding RNA, 1014 nt
Organism: Gallus gallus (chicken)
Lineage: Eukaryota; Metazoa; Chordata; Aves; Galliformes; Phasianidae
Source: Ensembl
GUAACCCUCCUCCAAUUGUUCACUCGUUCUGGUGUUUCUACAACUGGAAUCCAUUUAUGCUUCUAAGAUACUUCUGUGUAACCAAGCUGCCUGGAUCAGCAAAGAACACAGCCUUUUUGGUUAUGCAACAGAGAAAGGGACCCUGCUUUGUAUCCUGCAAAGUGAGGUACAACAGCAAAGAACACAGACCCACUGAAUGAUAUCAGCUGAUGAUGUUGAACAAAAGGAAAGUGAAAAGUAAAUCUGAUGCACUGGAUAGAAUAGUACUUCAAAGCAAGAAAAGGAGAAUAAAGCCAGAUGAGAAUGGGAAAGAAAAUGGGUAGGAAAAACUCCCAUAAGCAGAAGCACUGUACAGAGGACAGGUUCUUUUUUAUUUAGCUUAUACCCUGAAGAAGAAAGAAGAGCAAAAGAAAGAGACAUCGGGUGAAGAAUGAAGUGUAGAUGAAGGAGAGCCCUCUCCAAUCAGAAAUAUCUGAGCGCUGAAGCUGAACUUCUCAGUAAGGGGAGUGCAAGUUUGAAAUAGAAAAAGACUAGGAAAAAUGUUUGAGGCAAACACAAAUACAAGCUUUUGCAUAGCUUGCAUAUGACAUUAUCUCAUACAAUUGUUCUCAGUCAGAAUACCACAAUAGAGACAGAACCACCAACCCAAAGCCUGGCCCAAAGGGGUUUCCAGAAGGAGGUCUGCUGGAAGCAUUCACAUCAGCAGCCAUUCAGUGUUGCACCCAUAUUCACAAAACCCUUAUUUACAGGCUUAUCUGGUACUAAAUACUUUAGGACUCUGUAUGGGACUUAAGAGGUAACUUGAAGUUUAACACAACUGCUUGUCGAAGUAGUUGCAGCCUUCAGAACAGGAUGAAGUCCUCUGGUAUAACAUAUAGAAUAGUAUCCACAUUUCAUCUGGUAUCAAAAGCUGCUCUAAGAUGUUUAGAAAUAGAAUAUAUACUGUGAUGUGUGAAAUAGUUGGUGAGAAAAUGAAGCAAGAGAAAAAGAAUUACGUCCAAAAAAUAUGAAUGC